This 305-nucleotide ribosomal RNA is filed under the name uncultured bacterium. Its description in RNAcentral is "partial 16S ribosomal RNA". It matches the Rfam family "Bacterial small subunit ribosomal RNA", at positions 506 to 807 of the family's 1533-position model. The record is from RNAcentral.
ACAGCAGUAGCCGCGGUAAUACGUAGGUGGCAAGCGUUGUCCGGAAUUAUUGGGCGUAAAGGGCUCGCAGGCGGUUUCUUAAGUCUGAUGUGAAAGCCCCCGGCUCAACCGGGGAGGGUCAUUGGAAACUGGGAAACUUGAGUGCAGAAGAGGAGAGUGGAAUUCCACGUGUAGCGGUGAAAUGCGUAGAGAUGUGGAGGAACACCAGUGGUGAAGGCGACUCUCUGGUCUGUAACUGACGCUGAGGAGCGAAAGCGUGGGGAGCGAACAGGAUUAGAUACCCCUGUAGUCCCUGUCUCUUAUAC